RNAcentral lists this ribosomal RNA (301 nucleotides) under uncultured bacterium. Its description in RNAcentral is "partial 16S ribosomal RNA". It matches the Rfam family "Bacterial small subunit ribosomal RNA", at positions 509 to 807 of the family's 1533-position model. The record is from RNAcentral.
CAGCCGCCGCGGGAAUACGUAGGUGACAAGCGUUGUCCGGAAUUAUUGGGCGUAAAGGGAGCGCAGGCGGUUGGAAUAGUCUGAUGUGAAAGCCCACGGCUUAGCCGUGGAAUUGCAUUGGAAACUGUCCAACUUGAAUGCAGAAGAGGAAAGCGGAAUUCCAUGUAUAGCGGUGAAAUGCGUAGAUAUAUGGAGGAACACCAGUGGCGAAGGCGGCUUUCUGGUCUGUGAUUGACGCUGAGGCUCGAAAGCGUGGGGAGCGAACAGGAUUAGAUACCCGCGUAGUCCCUGUCUCUUAUAC